GACAGCUUGGAGUUACUGUUGGGAACAGAUCCAUGUAUGGAAGCAAAAGCAGAAAAGCAUAGAUAAGCUGAGAUCCAGCUAUGCAAACCAUCUUUAGAGACACUUAGAGGACAAGUACCCCAGCUCCUUUCUUUCUGGUAAAUUUAGAGACACUAUCAUAUGUGGGCUUUUUUCCAUUCUGCUUUACCCACAACUGCUGAGACUCGGCUGGGAUCAGCUUGCUUUGACACCUGUUUCUAAAAGCAGCAAUGAUGCAUCAAGGCUUAGGCUUCAGUGUGGGAAUAGGGAGCCCACCUAUGAAACAGACCCCUCCCUGUCGUUCCCAUCAUCAGCAAUUGCCAUAUCUCUACACUGGGACAAGGAAGCAAAACCAAGAAAGAGACCAAGCAGAGACCUUGUUCUUCUGCCCUAGAUGCAGCAAUAAACAUUUGGAUUUGCUGCUAGAUUGUUGAGACUGCCAACAUGUACACAGUGAAAGUAAACCCUUCCUGUGGCCACAGACCACAACAUGCUAGUGAUCCAUGGUAUUAUCCUGUUAUUUAGUGAAUCAUUGUCGCUGCUGAGAAACACACAGUCGAGUAAGUUGCUAACAAUAACAGUGGAUGUGAGAGACAAGUGUUUGUUUUACUCUGGUGUAACUUAUUCCACAUGGUCCUUUAAAACAUGUUAAAUGUUAAGUCAUUUUGGCCUGCCAACUAUUAUUUCAAGAUGACCUCCUGGAUUUAGCCUCCUUUUCAGAGCAUAGCUGUUUGAAACAAGGCUCUGGAAACAUCUCCUGCACAGAAUAAAUGCCCAGUUCAGAAGCAAGACAGAUGUUCUCAAUUGCCUUAUCUUUAGCUGGAUUAAGUAGGUCUCCAUUUUUAUUGAUUGUCCAGAAUAGUGAUGUUUACUGAUGAUCUACUGUGACACAUUUCAGAUGU
Molecule: long non-coding RNA, 920 nt
Organism: Neopsephotus bourkii (Bourke's parrot)
Lineage: Eukaryota; Metazoa; Chordata; Aves; Psittaciformes; Psittacidae
Exons: 3
Source: RefSeq, a predicted model, not a curated record